GAUGAACGCUGGCGGCGUGCUUAACACAUGCAAGUCGAACGAUGAAGCCCAGCUUGCUUGGUGGAUUAGUGGCGCACGGGUGAGUAACACGUGAGUAACCUGCCCUUAACUCUGGGAUAAGCCUGGGAAACUGGGUCUAAUACCGGAUAGUAGCGUCCACCGCAUGUUGGGUGUUGGAAAGAGUUAUCGGUUUUGGAUGGACUCGCGGCCUAUCAGCUUGUUGGUGAGGUAAUGGCUCACCAAGGCGACGACGGGUAGCCGGCCUGAGAGGGUGACCGGCCACACUGGGACUGAGACACGGCCCAGACUCCUACGGGAGGCAGCAGUGGGGAAUAUUGCACAAUGGGCGCAAGCCUGAUGCAGCGACGCCGCGUGAGGGAUGACGGCCUUCGGGUUGUAAACCUCUUUCAGUAGGGAAGAAGCGAAAGUGACGGUACCUGCAGAAGAAGCACCGGCUAACUACGUG
This 466-nucleotide ribosomal RNA is filed under the name uncultured bacterium. Its description in RNAcentral is "partial 16S ribosomal RNA". It matches the Rfam family "Bacterial small subunit ribosomal RNA", at positions 28 to 507 of the family's 1533-position model. The record is from RNAcentral.